Molecule: ribosomal RNA, 305 nt
Filed under: uncultured bacterium
Lineage: Bacteria
Description: bacterial SSU rRNA
Rfam family: Bacterial small subunit ribosomal RNA
Source: RNAcentral
CCUACGGGACGCAGCAGUGGGGAAUAUUGCACAAUGGGGGAAACCCUGAUGCAGCAACGCCGCGUGAAGGAAGACGGUUUUCGGAUUGUAAACUUCUUUUCUUAGUGAAGAAGCAAGUGACGGUAGCUAAGGAAGCACCGGCUAACUCCGUGCCAGCAGCCGCGGUAAUACGGAGGGUGCGAGCGUUAAUCGGAAUUACUGGGCGUAAAGCGCACGUAGGCUGUUGUGUAAGUCAGGGGUGAAAUCCCACGGCUCAACCGUGGAACUGCCCUUGAUACUGCAUGACUGGAAUCCGGGAGAGGGUG